This 253-nucleotide ribosomal RNA is filed under the name uncultured bacterium. RNAcentral's name for it is "partial 16S ribosomal RNA". It matches the Rfam family "Bacterial small subunit ribosomal RNA", at positions 524 to 776 of the family's 1533-position model. The record is from RNAcentral.
UACGAAGGGUGCAAGCGUUACUCGGAAUUACUGGGCGUAAAGAGCGCGCAGGCGGUCGUUCAAGUCGAGUGUGAAAGCCCCCGGCUCAACUGGGGAGGGUCACUCGAUACUGAUCGACUUGAAGGCAGGAGAGGGAAGCGGAAUUCCCGGUGUAGUGGUGAAAUGCGUAGAUAUCGGGAGGAACACCAGUGGCGAAGGCGGCUUCCUGGCCUGCUCUUGACGCUGAGGCGCGAAAGCUAGGGUAGCAAACGGG